RNAcentral lists this ribosomal RNA (747 nucleotides) under uncultured bacterium. RNAcentral's name for it is "bacterial SSU rRNA". It matches the Rfam family "Bacterial small subunit ribosomal RNA", at positions 28 to 776 of the family's 1533-position model. The record is from RNAcentral.
AAUGAACGCUGGCGGCGUGCUUAACACAUGCAAGUCGAGCGAGAAGUUUUGAAAAGAUUCUUCGGAUGAAAUUUAAAAUGGAAAGCGGCGGACGGGUGAGUAACGCGUAGGCAACCUGCCCCAUACAAAGGGAUAGCAUUUGGAAACGAAUAUUAAUACCUUAUGAAACUUAACUAGUGCAUGCUAGGUGGGUCAAAGAUUUAUCGGUAUGGGAUGGGCCUGCGUCUGAUUAGCUAGUUGGUGAGGUAACGGCUCACCAAGGCGACGAUCAGUAGCCGACCUGAGAGGGUGAACGGCCACAUUGGAACUGAGACACGGUCCAAACUCCUACGGGAGGCAGCAGUGGGGAAUAUUGCACAAUGGGGGAAACCCUGAUGCAGCAACGCCGCGUGAACGAUGAAGGCCUUUGGGUCGUAAAGUUCUGUUCUAGGUGAUGAAAACUGACAGUAACCUAGGAGAAAGCCCCGGCUAACUCCGUGCCAGCAGCCGCGGUAAUACGGAGGGGGCAAGCGUUAUCCGGAAUUAUUGGGCGUAAAGGGUACGUAGGUGGCCUUUUAAGCGUAGGGUAUAGGGCAAUGGCUCAACCAUUGUUCGCCCUAUGAACUGGAAGGCUUGAGUGCAGGAGAGGAAAGCGGAAUUCCUAGUGUAGCGGUGGAAUGCAUAGAUAUUAGGAGGAACAUCAGCGGCGAAGGCGGCUUUCUGGACUGCAACUGACACUGAGGUACGAAAGCGUGGGGAGCAAACAGG